UACGGAGGGUGCGAGCGUUGUCCGGAAUCACUGGGCGUAAAGGGCGCGUAGGCGGCGUGGUAAGUCACUUGUGAAAUCUCUGAGCUUAACUCAGAACGGCCAAGUGAUACUGCUGUGCUAGAGUGCAGAAGGGGGCAAUCGGAAUUCUUGGUGUAGCGGUGAAAUGCGUAGAUAUCAAAGAGGAACACCUGAGGUGAAGACGGGGUUGCUGGGGCUGACACUGACGUGAGGCGCGAAAAGCCCAGGGGGGAGCAAAACGGGG
This 262-nucleotide ribosomal RNA is filed under the name uncultured bacterium. Its description in RNAcentral is "partial 16S ribosomal RNA". It matches the Rfam family "Bacterial small subunit ribosomal RNA", at positions 524 to 778 of the family's 1533-position model. The record is from RNAcentral.